This 247-nucleotide ribosomal RNA is filed under the name uncultured bacterium. RNAcentral's name for it is "partial 16S ribosomal RNA". It matches the Rfam family "Bacterial small subunit ribosomal RNA", at positions 523 to 769 of the family's 1533-position model. The record is from RNAcentral.
AUACAGAGGUCCCAAGCGUUGUUCGGAUUCACUGGGCGUAAAGGGUGCGUAGGUGGUGAUGUAAGUUCGAUGUGAAAGCCCCGGGCUCAACCUGGGAAGUGCAUUGGAUACUGGCAGACUUGAAUACGGGAGAGGGCAGUGGAAUUCCUGGUGUAGGAGUGAAAUCCGUAGAUAUCAGGAGGAACACCGGUGGCGAAGGCGGCUGCCUGGACCGAUAUUGACGCUGAGACGCGAAAGCGUGGGUAGC